UUCUGUAUUUCAGGAUGUUGGGACUUACUUUAGCGGAUUUGGAUAACUCGUUAACCCUAUUCAAUAAACCUCAACUUUGUAAAAGACGACGACAUGAACUCACCACAGAGCCUCUUAAACUCCUCACCGCCGUGUAUUCCAUAAUCCGCCAUGUAGAUUGGAUCUCAGACACGGCCAAGAAACCUGCAACAAAGGAGAAUUAUGAUGAACAGGGUGAAGCAGUGAACCUUGACUACGUCUCCAUCACUUAUUUAUAGUCUCAAAAAUUAGGGAGUUUAAGAGCUGCGGAGAAGGAGUCACUAAAUUGAACGUAGUGGGGGAGAUGGCCGUAGGGAGCAAAUGAAAACAAUUAAUGAAAGGUUUGAAUGAGGAUUACGAACGUUACAGAGGCGUUACAACAUCUGCGAUGCAAAAGACGGGAUUGAAGAAGACGAAGUCAUUGAAAGAGACAUGGGCUAUAAAUGGACUAUGUUUAUGUUAUAGAAGAGAAAGCUGACGUGUCCAAAAACGCCCCUUC
This is a long non-coding RNA of Brassica oleracea var. oleracea, 517 nucleotides long. RefSeq lists it as uncharacterized. NCBI's taxonomy places the organism in Eukaryota, Viridiplantae, Streptophyta, Magnoliopsida, Brassicales, Brassicaceae. The transcript has 3 exons. The record is from RefSeq and is a predicted model, not a curated record.